GCUGAAGCGGGGGUAAGACCCCGUGGAGGGCCGAACGCACGUCGGUUGAAAACGGCGGCGAUGACCUGCGGAUAGGGGUGAAAGGCCAAUCAAACCCGGAGAUAUCUCGUUCUCCCCGAAAUAGCUUUAGGGCUAGCGUCGCGCGUUCACCGCCGGAGGUAGAGCACCGGAUGGACGAGGGGGCUUCGCCGCCUACCGAAUCCAACCGAACUCCGAAUGCCGGCGGCCCAGAGCGCGGCAGUCAGAGCAUGUGGGCUAAGCUGUGUGCUCGAGAGGGAAACAGCCCGGACCGCCCGCUAAGGUCCCCAAGUUCCAGCCGAGUGGCAAAGGAUGUGCGUCCGCCCAGACAACCAGGAUGUUGGCUUAGAAGCAGCCAUACAUUCAAAGAGUGCGUAACAGCUCACUGGUCGAGUGGACAUGCGCCGACAAUACACGGGGCUAAGCUGGACACCGAAGCGGCGGGAUUUUAAUUCAUUAGAAUCGGUAGGGGAGCUUCCCAUGGGCGGAGAAGCCGGAGGGCGACCGACGGUGGAGCGCAUGGGAGUGAGAAUGCUGGCAUGAGUAGCGAGAGACGAGAGAGUACCUCGUCCGCCGUGAACCCGAGGUUUCCUGGGCAAGGCUAAUCCUCCCAGGGUCAGUCGGGGGCUAAGGCGAGGCCGGGAGGCGUAGCCGACGCGCAGCAGGCAGACAUUCCUGCACCGCGCACGCGGCGCUACGACCGACGGGGCGACGGAUGGGGGUGGCUCGGCGGGGUUCUGGACGUCCCCGUGAUGGAGCGCGGCCCGCGGACCAGGGAAAUCCGGUCCGCAUUGAGGGCGAGGCUCCGGACGAAGCGAUUGAGCGAAGCGAGUGAGCCCGAGGUCCCUAGAAAAACCCCUAGGCAGGCGCGUGCGCGCCCGUACCGCAAACCGACACAGGUGGGUGGGUAGAACAUACCGAGGCGAUCGGGUCAACCAUGGUCAAGGAACUCGGCACAAUGGCCCCGUAACUUCGGGAGAAGGGGUGCCCGCGCGUACGUGAACCGGCUCGCCCCGGGAGCGGAGGCGGGCCGCAGUGGAGAGGCCCAAGCGACUGUUUACCAAAAACACAGGACUCUGCAGAAGCCGCAAGGCGACGUAUAGGGUCUGACGCCUGCCCGGUGCCGGAAGGUCACGCGGAGGAGUUAGCGCAUCGCGCGAAGCCCCGAAGCCAAGCCCCGGUAAACGGCGGCCGUAACUAUAACGGUCCUAAGGUAGCGAAAUUCCUUGUCGGGUAAGUUCCGACCUGCACGAAAGGCGCAACGACUUGGGCGCUGUCUCGACCAUGGACCCGGUGAAAUUGCACUGGUCGUGAAGAUGCGACUUACCCGCGGAAGGACGGAAAGACCCCGUGAACCUUCACUGCAGCUUGGCAUUGGCCGCUGGUCCCGCGUGUAGAGGAUAGGCAGGAGGCACAGAUCCGGAGGCGCCAGCCCCCGGGGAGCCGCCCUUGGAAUACUGCCCUCGCGCGACCGGCGUCCUAACCCGAGGCCGUCAACCGGCUCGGGGACCGUGCCAGGCGGGCAGUUUGACUGGGGCGGUCGCCUCCUAAAGGGUAACGGAGGCGCGCGAAGGUCCGCUCGGGACGGUCGGCAACCGUCCUUUUGAAUGCAAGAGUACAAGCGGGCUUGACUGCGAGGCCCACAAGCCGAGCAGGUGCGAAAGCAGGCUCUAGUGAUCCGGCGGCCCCGAGUGGGUGGGCCGUC
Molecule: ribosomal RNA, 1723 nt
Filed under: human gut metagenome
Description: bacterial LSU rRNA
Rfam family: Bacterial large subunit ribosomal RNA
Source: RNAcentral